RNAcentral lists this ribosomal RNA (253 nucleotides) under uncultured bacterium. RNAcentral describes it as "partial 16S ribosomal RNA". It matches the Rfam family "Bacterial small subunit ribosomal RNA", at positions 524 to 776 of the family's 1533-position model. The record is from RNAcentral.
UACGUAGGGUGCAAGCGUUGUCCGGAAUUAUUGGGCGUAAAGAGCUCGUAGGCGGCUUGUCACGUCGACUGUGAAAACCCGGGGCUCAACUCCGGGCCUGCAGUCGAUACGGGCUGGCUUGAGUGCGGUAGGGGAGACUGGAAUUCCUGGUGUAGCGGUGAAAUGCGCAGAUAUCAGGAGGAACACCGGUGGCGAAGGCGGGUCUCUGGGCCAUAACUGACGCUGAGGAGCGAAAGCGUGGGGAGCGAACAGG